RNAcentral lists this long non-coding RNA (724 nucleotides) under Triticum aestivum (bread wheat). RNAcentral describes it as "long non-coding RNA (TAES_LNC023635)". The record is from RNAcentral. Lineage: Eukaryota; Viridiplantae; Streptophyta; Magnoliopsida; Poales; Poaceae.
AAAGAAAGAAAGAAAAUUGGUGGUUUUUUCUAGAAAAACUGACCAUCGUGAGUCUACCUGAAUGUGUUGCUCCCAAUAAUUGGCCGUAUGCUAAACUGCAGCCAGAUGAUGCAUAUUGCUCAUAUUUCUUGAUGAAAUAUAUUCCAUGGCCAUCAGGCAUUGAUGCUCUAUUAUGUCUAACACAGUACAAAUUCUAAUUAAACAUGUUGUCGCAUUAUUUAGGACUUGCCCUGUUUUUUAUAACACUAAAACCCCACUGCCAUUGAUGCUUUAUGCAAUUAUUAUUUUCACCAUUGUCUCUAUGAAUGCAUGAAUUCAUCGGUGACUUUGUAUCCUUUGUAGGUAAGACAUACAAAAGGACCAUGAAGGAACCAUGAAGAUGGCAGUUCGUGUUUGCUAGACAUCUUGUGUAAUGGAGCAAAAACAGUGUCUUUUAGGAUCAUUUUGUGGACCUAUAUGGCGGCGUCUUGUCAUCUGGGUAUUUUGUGUAAUGGAGCAAACAAUGAAUCGAUGGACAUGCAUCUAUCAUUUUGUAAACCUAUCGAGUGAUUCGGUGACUGGAACAUAUAAAUGUUGGAAGGCUUAUGAGAAUGAAUUACUGUUUUAUCCUUCUUUGGUCAUGAUUUAUUUUUUUGUGAGUACAUGCAAGUUAGUUAACUUGAUUGAUAUUGUGCUGUGAUGAGAUAUGCAACUUGUUUGAUAUUGUAUAAAGCAGAUGAGAAAU